Molecule: ribosomal RNA, 609 nt
Filed under: uncultured bacterium
Lineage: Bacteria
Description: bacterial SSU rRNA
Rfam family: Bacterial small subunit ribosomal RNA
Source: RNAcentral
UGCAGUCGAGCGAGAAAGUCCCGCAAGGGAUGAGUACAGCGGCGCACGGGUGAGUAACACGUGGGCAACCUACCCUCGAGUGGGGGAUAACCUGGGGAAACCCGGGCUAAUACCGCAUAACAUCCAUUGGACUGCGGUCUGGUGGAUCAAAGGGGCAAUUCGCUGGAGGAGGGGCCCGCGGCCGAUUAGCUAGUUGGUGAGGUAACGGCCCACCGAGGCAACGAUCGGUAGCCGGUCUGAGAGGACGCACGGCCACACUGGAACUGAAACACGGUCCAGACUCCUACGGGAGGCAGCAGUGGGGAAUCUUGCACAAUGCCCGCAAGGGUGAUGCAGCGACGCCGCGUGAGUGAUGAAGCCCUUCGGGGUGUAAAGCUCUUUCGACAGGGACGAUUAUGACGGUACCUGUAGAAGAAGCCCCGGCAAACUACGUGCCAGCAGCCGCGGUAAUACGUAGGGGGCCAGCGUUGUUCGGAAUUACUGGGCGUAAAGAGCGCGUAGGCGGUGCAGCAAGUUUGGUGUUAAAUCUCAGGGGCUUAACUGGGAGGGGUCGCCGAAAACUGCUGUGCUCGAGUGCGGGAGAGGAGAGUGGAAUUCCCGGUGUAGCGG